RNAcentral lists this ribosomal RNA (406 nucleotides) under uncultured bacterium. RNAcentral describes it as "partial 16S ribosomal RNA". It matches the Rfam family "Bacterial small subunit ribosomal RNA", at positions 30 to 526 of the family's 1533-position model. The record is from RNAcentral.
AUUGAACGCUGGCGGCAGGCCUAACACAUGCAAGUCGAACGAGUGGCGGACGGGUGAGUCAUGUCUGGGAAACUGCCUGAUGGAGGGGGAUAACUACUGGAAACGGUAGCUAAUACCGCAUACCAUCGGAUGUGCCCAGAUGGGAUUAGCUAGUAGGUGGGGUAACGGCUCACCUAGGCGACGAUCCCUAGCUGGUCUGAGAGGAUGACCGGCACAACGGGAACUGGGAAACGGUCCGAACUCCUACGGGAGGCAGCAGUGGGGAAUAUUGCACAAUGGGCGCAAGCCUGAUACAGCCAGGCCGCGUGUAUGAAGAAGGCCUUCGGGUUGUAAAGUACUUUCAGCGGGGAGGCGUUACCCGCAGAAGAAGCACCGGCUAACUCCGUGCCAGCAGCCGCGGUAAUUC